GACGAACGCUGGCGGCGCGCUUAACACAUGCAAGUCGAGCGAGAACCAGGACUUCGGCCCUGGGGACAGCGGCGAACGGGUGAGUAACACGUGGGUAAUCUGCCCUCGGUUCCGGGAUAGCCCGGGGAAACUCGGAUUAAUACCGGAUAGCCUCACGAGCCUUCGGGGGAGUGAGAAAAGGUAGCUUUGGCCUCUGACCGAGGAUGAGCCCGCGGUGGAUUAGCUUGUUGGCGGGGUAACGGCCCACCAAGGCGACGAUCCAUAGCUGGUCUGAGAGGACGAUCAGCCACACUGGGACUGAGACACGGCCCAGACUCCUACGGGAGGCAGCAGUGGGGAAUCUUGCGCAAUGGGCGAAAGCCUGACGCAGCGACGCCGCGUGGGGAAGAAGGCCUUAGGGUUGUAAACCUCUUUCAGGUGGGACGAAGCCACUCGGGUUAAUAGCCCAGAGGGUGACGGUACCGCCAGAAGAAG
This 474-nucleotide ribosomal RNA is filed under the name uncultured bacterium. Its description in RNAcentral is "bacterial SSU rRNA". It matches the Rfam family "Bacterial small subunit ribosomal RNA", at positions 28 to 490 of the family's 1533-position model. The record is from RNAcentral.